Molecule: long non-coding RNA, 767 nt
Filed under: Cucumis sativus (cucumber)
Lineage: Eukaryota; Viridiplantae; Streptophyta; Magnoliopsida; Cucurbitales; Cucurbitaceae
Description: long non-coding RNA (CSAT_LNC002511)
Source: RNAcentral
CAUUUACCUUCUGCAGCUAAAAUUGUAGCCAGCUGAAUGUACCGCCCGCUGUGAUCUGAAUCGACUUCCACCAGGUGAGCUCCGACUUGGCUACCCAGCAGAAAAUCUCUAUGAAUCCAACAGGCCUGAACGAGGAGGAAUGAAUGGUAAGCUUAUGUAGAUCAUCAACUUUUCUCUUUCAUUGAAAACAUGAUUUAGUGCAUUCUAUUUAAGAAGUCGCACUUUAUUUACUUACAUUUUAAUAUCUUAACUAUACUCUUUCGGUUUAUGGCUGUUAAAUUUGGGUUACCGUAAGCCUAUUAUCUAGCAUGAUACUCAUUACUCAGUGAGUGUUCACUAAAAUUUAAGAGAAUAAGGUCACUGGAUUGAUGAAAAAAAAAAAUAGUCUCUCUUCUAAAUUUCUAAGAAAAGUCUUUAAUGAAGUUGGCAGAAAUUCAACCUUUUUCUUCUAGAUGAAGAUUUUUUCUCUCCUAUGUGCAAAUUCCUAGCAACUCACUGAUUUUCCCAUGAUUUAGAAAAGUAGGCAUAUAAAAUUUCCCCCUACCUUUAGCAAAGCUCCCCAAAUUACAGCACUAGGUUUCAUGGGCAUCUUCUUGAUCAACUCUUUCGCUUCAUCCAGCCGCCCAGAUCGACCCAAAAGAUCAACCAUACAUCCAUAAUGCUCAAUAGAUGGAUUCACGUUGUAGAAACAUUUCAUGCUCUUGAAUAACUCUUUUCCUUCUUCAACUAGUCCUCCAUAGCUACAAGCCCUUAGAACUGCAGUGAAA